Long non-coding RNA from Schistocerca americana (American grasshopper), 325 nucleotides. RefSeq lists it as uncharacterized. The transcript is spliced from 3 exons. NCBI's taxonomy places the organism in Eukaryota, Metazoa, Arthropoda, Insecta, Orthoptera, Acrididae. The record is from RefSeq and is a predicted model, not a curated record.
CGCCACGCUCUCUCGCUCAGACUGCCCUCGUCGCGAUAACCGCAGCGCACGCCGCCGGCAGAACCGCCAGAAGCAGAGCCAUCUCUCGCGGCCGUGUGCACUAGGACAACAGUGACGCGGCAUCCGGCAGAGGAGUGGCGCUAGGCAAGGGCUAAAAUUUGCCAUGUCUCUCUACUCAUGAGGUGCUUCCAGAACAUGUACUACACGAAACAGUUUGCUGAAUGGAUCCGACUGACUUUAUUGCUUUGUAUAGCUCUGCAUUGCUGUCUUGGGAAAAUGGAGGACAUCAGCUUCGAACCGAGGAUCCUACUUAACAAAACCUGUG